This 67-nucleotide transfer RNA is filed under the name Trypaea australiensis. RNAcentral describes it as "tRNA-Trp". Lineage: Eukaryota; Metazoa; Arthropoda; Malacostraca; Decapoda; Callianassidae. The record is from RNAcentral.
AAAGCUUUAAGUUAAUCAUAAACUAACAUCCUUCAAAGUUGUCAAUAAAAAUCUUUUUUAAGCUUUA